RNAcentral lists this ribosomal RNA (203 nucleotides) under uncultured Beggiatoa sp. RNAcentral's name for it is "partial 16S ribosomal RNA". It matches the Rfam family "Bacterial small subunit ribosomal RNA", at positions 410 to 603 of the family's 1533-position model. The record is from RNAcentral. Lineage: Bacteria; Pseudomonadati; Pseudomonadota; Gammaproteobacteria; Thiotrichales; Thiotrichaceae.
GAAGGCCUGCGGGNUUGUAAAGCACUUUUAGGCUGGGAGGAAAAGUUGAUAGUGAAUAGCUAUUGAAAUUGACGUUACCAGCAGAAUAAGCACCGGCUAACUCUGUGCCAGCAGCCGCGGUAAUACAGAGGGUGCGAGCGUUAAUCGGAAUUACUGGGCGUAAAGGGUGCGUAGGCGGUAUAGUAAGUCGGAUGUGAAAUGCC